GUCUACGGCCAUGCUAUCCUGAACAAGUCGGAUCCCGUCUGGUCUCGGAAGCUAAGCAGGGUUGGGCCUGGUUAGUACUUGGAUGGGAGACCAUCUAGGAAGACCAGAUGCUGUAGGCA
Molecule: ribosomal RNA, 119 nt
Filed under: Pteropus alecto (black flying fox)
Lineage: Eukaryota; Metazoa; Chordata; Mammalia; Chiroptera; Pteropodidae
Source: RNAcentral